ACCCCAAGACCCUAAGUUCUCCUACGUCAUUUGACAACCCUAGAGUACCUAGCUAACCUAAUGCCUGAAGAAUCCGCCGCUUUUCCAUAGAAAAGGCAUCAACUUAUUCUUCUUGACCCACCUUCCGAAUCUCUCAAUAAAUUGCCGAAAAACAUAACCACACACUCCUAACCAGUGACCACACUCAAACGACCACACCUCCCUCUCUCCAAUACCAUCGCCACCGUUGGAUUUCAUCACCGGCUAGCCGGAAAAUGUGAUUCAAACCACCCACUUCCCCUCCUCCCUUCAUCCGUCUCCUUCACCCUAAACUAGUUGCCGUCGCAACUCCACCAAAGAACAAAGCCAACUCUCUGGAACCCUCACCUCAUCUAGCUUCCAAGAAAGAAUUCGACCAACAGAAAUCAGAUCAAAUGGCGAAACAUUGCAGCGUCUCGCUCUCCGUCCAGAGAUCUAUUUCCUACUCUUUUCGUGACUUCUCUCUCUUUGUUGCCGUUAUUGUUUGAGUCCAUUUUGAAGCUCGUUCGGUGAGUUUGUUCAAAGUUGAGCGUUGAAGACGUUCGAGGUCAUUGAGUCUUUGUUCCGUUUGCGAUUAUUUUACGGUUACGCAAACAAAUAGAGGGAUUUCCCUGACAAGGGAUGAGCACAAAAGUGUGGCCGAAUUGGCUCAAGAAUUGCAACGUCUUUAUGUGGAUGAACCUGUAAAAUGUGCUCGAAUAUUCAGAGGUGUGGAUUUACUUACCGGAGUUUGAGCAUGAUAGACGCCCCAGGACCAUCUAGUCAGGAUCGCUCGAUCAGAAGUGGCUUAAGGAGAUUUUUUAAUUUUUUAUGUUUUAAGUUUGUUUUUAUUUUUUCGUCGUCUUUCACUUUCUAGUUUUGUACAUUAAUGUCGAGUAUUCCGUUAUGUAUUUCCUAUUUUGUAUCAGAAAUAAGAUGUGUGAUAAAUCAAAAAUCCAAAAAAAAGAAGAGAUUUUGCGUUUUUAUA
Nicotiana tabacum (common tobacco) is the source of this 985-nucleotide non-coding RNA. The record is from RefSeq and is a predicted model, not a curated record. NCBI's taxonomy places the organism in Eukaryota, Viridiplantae, Streptophyta, Magnoliopsida, Solanales, Solanaceae.